This 459-nucleotide ribosomal RNA is filed under the name uncultured bacterium. Its description in RNAcentral is "partial 16S ribosomal RNA". It matches the Rfam family "Bacterial small subunit ribosomal RNA", at positions 29 to 523 of the family's 1533-position model. The record is from RNAcentral.
AACGAACGCUGGCGGCAGGCCUAACACAUGCAAGUCGAACGAGAAGCCACCUUCGGGUGGUGGAAAGUGGCAGACGGGUGAGUAACGCGUGGGAACGUGCCUUUCGGUUCGGGACAACCCAGGGAAACUUGGGCUAAUACCGGAUACGCCCUCCGGGCGAAAGAUUCAUUGCCGAAAGAUCGGCCCGCGUCGGAUUAGCUAGUUGGUAGGGUAAUGGACUACCAAGGCGACGAUCCGUAGCUGGUCUGAGAGGAUGACCAGCCACACUGGGACUGAGACACGGCCCAGACUACUACGGGAGGCAGCAGUGGGGAAUAUUGGACAAUGGGCGAAAGCCUGAUCCAGCCAUGCCGCGUGGGUGAAGAAGGCCUUAGGGUUGUAAACCCCUUUCAGCGGGGAAGAUAAUGACGGUACCCGCAGAAGAAGUCCCGGCUAACUCCGUGCCAGCAGCCGCCGUAA